UCGCACUGAUAUUAGUCAAGAAAUUACAGUCAACGACGAAGAUACUCUUGGUACAACAUACUGUCUGGCCAACAAACAAACAAUUCCCAAUUUUGUGUCUACAUUAUUCCGACAUAAAACUAAAACGAGUUUCGCAUUAAGUAGCCAACAGCAUGACGGUGCAACUUUUUGGCAAGGGAGUCCGCCCUCGGUUAAUGGAAGUGAUCUCAAAAAAAUAGCUUCUUUUUUUUUUUAAUUAUGCAUAAACUAAGGCAUAGCUAAAUAUAUAGUCAACUCGAUUGUCCAGUUAACCUUUGUACUCGAACCAGCCUCCUGAUCCCAAACGACAAUACAAAAAAGCUGCUCAACUUGA
Molecule: long non-coding RNA, 352 nt
Organism: Drosophila virilis
Lineage: Eukaryota; Metazoa; Arthropoda; Insecta; Diptera; Drosophilidae
Source: RefSeq, a predicted model, not a curated record